This 465-nucleotide ribosomal RNA is filed under the name uncultured bacterium. Its description in RNAcentral is "partial 16S ribosomal RNA". It matches the Rfam family "Bacterial small subunit ribosomal RNA", at positions 338 to 795 of the family's 1533-position model. The record is from RNAcentral.
CCUACGGGAGGCAGCAGUAGGGAAUCUUCCACAAUGGGCGCAAGCCUGAUGGAGCAACGCCGCGUGGAUGAUGAAGGUCUUCGGAUCGUAAAACUCUGUUUUUAGAGAAGAAAGUUCGUGAGAGUAACUGUUCACGUUUCGACGGUAUCUAACCAGAAAGCCACGGCUAACUACGUGCCAGCAGCCGCGGUAAUACGUAGGUGGCAAGCGUUAUCCGGAUUUAUUGGGAGUAAAGGGAACGCAGGCGGUCUUUUAAGUCUGAUGUGAAAGCCUUCGGCUUAACCGGAGUAGUGCAUUGGAAACUGGGAGACUUGAGUGCAGAAGAGGAGAGUGGAACUCCAGGUGUAGCGGUGAAAUGCGUAGAUAUAUGGAAGAACACCAGUGGCGAAAGCAGCUCUCUGGUCUGUAACUGACGCUGAGGUUCGAAAGCGUGGGUAGCAAACAGGAUUAGAUACCCCAGUAGUC